UACGGAGGGUGCAAGCGUUAUCCGGAUUCACUGGGUUUAAAGGGUGCGUAGGUGGGUUGCCAAGUCCGUGGUGAAAUCUCCGAGCUUAACUCGGAAACUGCCGUGGAUACUGGUAAUCUUGAAUAUCGUGGAGGUAAGCGGAAUAUGUCAUGUAGCGGUGAAAUGCUUAGAUAUGACAUAGAACACCGAUAGCGAAGGCAGCUUGCUACACGAUUAUUGACACUGAGGCACGAAAGCGUGGGGAGCAAAUAGGAUUAGAUACCCUGGUAGUCCACGCCCUAAACGAUGAUUACUCGACAUACGCGAUACACAGUGUGUGUCUGAGCGAAAGCAUUAAGUAAUCCACCUGGGAAGUACGACCGCAAGGUUGAA
This 372-nucleotide ribosomal RNA is filed under the name uncultured bacterium. RNAcentral's name for it is "bacterial SSU rRNA". It matches the Rfam family "Bacterial small subunit ribosomal RNA", at positions 524 to 898 of the family's 1533-position model. The record is from RNAcentral.